This is a long non-coding RNA of Vespa mandarinia (Asian giant hornet), 609 nucleotides long. RefSeq lists it as uncharacterized. NCBI's taxonomy places the organism in Eukaryota, Metazoa, Arthropoda, Insecta, Hymenoptera, Vespidae. The record is from RefSeq and is a predicted model, not a curated record.
UUUUAAUAGAUAAUAAUAUUGUUUCAAGAGAAGGAAGAAAGUCCUCUUAGAGCGCUUAAUGAAGAUCGAUAAAGUCGAAAGAGGAAGAGGAAGGAGAUAGCAAAAGGGUGAAAGAGAUAAAAUUGUAAAGAGGGAUGAAGUGGAAAGAGCUUUUCUUCGUUCGAGUCAAACCAUCGUUGUGAGGAAGAAGUACAGAGAAGGAAGCACCUCAGCGGAUGUGAUGUUUAGGACAUGGCCGUACAAAAAAUGCCUCCCGUAUAAAUAUAGACGAUGGUGGUUGCCAUCGUAAUGGUUGUGAUAGUGCUGCUGGUGGUGGUGACUGCUUACCAAUCGAAAUUUCUCUUUGACCCACAUUCCGAGAUUGAUUAUUUACAAAGGGUCACGGUGUUCCUGUUUUCGUUUCUCUUGGUUGUCUUCUCCUUCAUCUGCAUUAAUUUAUGUGAAAUAUGGAAUAAAAAAAUUAGGGAGAGAGAGAAAGAGAGAGAGAGAGAGAGAGAGAGAAAAUUAUCGAAAACAUUAAAAUGUAUUUUAAAGAAAAGAAAAGAAAAAGAGAAAAGAACAAGAAAUGGAGGAACUUGUUUGAGUGAGUUCGAUUUCACACCGGUUAGA